UAGGGUCAAGUGACUAAGUGCAUGUGGUGGAUGCCUUGGCGAUUACAGGCGACGAAGGACGUGAUAGCCUGCGAUAAGCUUCGGGGAGCUGGCAAAUUAGCUUUGAUCCGGAGAUUUCCGAAUGGGGAAACCCACUCCGCAAGGAGUAACUCUGACUGAAUACAUAGGUCAUUGUGGCGAACCGGGUGAACUGAAACAUCUCAGUAGCUCGAGGAAAAGACAUCAACCGAGAUUCCGAAAGUAGUGGCGAGCGAAAUCGGAGUAGCCCUCGCGUUUUAGCAGUUUGUAUAUCAGAACGGAAUGGAAAGUCCGGCCACAGCGGGUGAUAGCCCCGUAUGAGAAAUGCAGAUUGUGGAACUAGGCGCGAAUAGAGUAGGGCGGGACACGUGAAAUCCUGUCUGAAUAUGGGGGGACCAUCCUCCAAGGCUAAAUACUCGUAAUCGACCGAUAGUGAACAAGUACCGUGAGGGAAAGGCGAAAAGAACCCCGGGAGGGGAGUGAAAUAGAUCCUGAAACCGCAUGCAUACAAAAAGUCGGAGCCCGCAAGGGUGACGGCGUACCUUUUGUAUAAUGGGUCAGCGACUUACAUUCAGUGGCGAGGUUAACCGAAUAGGGAAGCCGUAGAGAAAUCGAGUCCGAAUAGGGCGAAUAGUCGCUGGGUGUAGACCCGAAACCAAGUGAUCUAUCCAUGGCCAGGAUGAAGGUACCGUAACAGGUGCUGGAGGUCCGAACCGACUAGUGUUGCAAAACUAGCGGAUGAGCUGUGGAUAGGGGUGAAAGGCUAAACAAACUUGGAAAUAGCUGGUUCUCUCCGAAAACUAUUUAGGUAGUGCCUCAAGUAUUACCUGCGGGGGUAGAGCACUGUUUAGGCUAGGGGGUCAUGGCGACUUACCAAACCUAUGCAAACUCCGAAUACCGCAGAGUACAGCUUGGGAGACAGAGCACCGGGUGCUAACGUCCGGACUCAAGAGGGAAACAACCCAGACCGCCAGCUAAGGUCCCUAAAAUUGGCUAAGUGGGAAACGAAGUGGGAAGGCUAAAACAGUCAGGAUGUUGGCUUAGAAGCAGCCAUCAUUUAAAGAAAGCGUAAUAGCUCACUGAUCGAGUCGUCCUGCGCGGAAGAUGUAACGGGGCUAAGCCAGUUACCGAAGCUGCGGAUGCAUAGCAAUAUGCGUGGUAGGAGAGCGUUCUGUAAGCCUGUGAAGGUGGGUUGUGAAGCCUGCUGGAGGUAUCAGAAGUGCGAAUGCUGACAUGAGUAGCGUUAAAGGGGGUGAAAAGCCCCCUCGCCGAAAGCGCAAGGUUUCCUACGCAACGUUCAUCGGCGUAGGGUGAGUCGGCCCCUAAGGCGAGGCAGAGAUGCGUAGCUGAUGGGAAACAGGUCAAUAUUCCUGUACCGAUCAAUAGUGCGAUGUGGGGACGGAGAAGGUUAGCUCAGCCAACUGUUGGAUAUGUUGGUUCAAGCGUGUAGUCGUGCUCUUUAGGCAAAUCCGGAGAGCUUAGAUGAGGCGUGAUAACGAGUCUGCUUGCAGACGAAGUGAGUGAUACCCUGCUUCCAAGAAAAGCCACUAAGCUUCAGCUAUUGACGACCGUACCGCAAACCGACACUGGUGCGCGAGAUGAGUAUUCUAAGGCGCUUGAGAGAACUCUGGAGAAGGAACUCGGCAAAUUGACACCGUAACUUCGGAAGAAGGUGUGCCUUUAGUAGGUGAACCU
RNAcentral lists this ribosomal RNA (1713 nucleotides) under Roseateles saccharophilus. RNAcentral describes it as "Pelomonas saccharophila partial 23S ribosomal RNA". It matches the Rfam family "Bacterial large subunit ribosomal RNA", at positions 1 to 1768 of the family's 2925-position model. The record is from RNAcentral. Lineage: Bacteria; Pseudomonadati; Pseudomonadota; Betaproteobacteria; Burkholderiales; Sphaerotilaceae.